This is a regulatory RNA element of Microvirga vignae, 56 nucleotides long. It matches the Rfam family "terC RNA". NCBI's taxonomy places the organism in Bacteria, Pseudomonadati, Pseudomonadota, Alphaproteobacteria, Hyphomicrobiales, Methylobacteriaceae. The record is from Rfam.
GCACCAGGCCGGGCCCCUCUGGCAGUUCCGAUGAACUGCGAUGUCGGACUGGAUGU